UACGGAGGGUGCAAGCGUUGUCCGGAUUCAUUGGGUUUAAAGGGUGCGCAGGCGGGACAUUAAGUCAGGGGUGAAAGACGGUUGCUCAACAAUCGCAGUGCCUUUGAUACUGGUGUUCUUGGGUGACCUUGAGGUAGGCGGAAUGGGUGGUGUAGCGGUGAAAUGCAUAGAUACCACCCAGAACUCCGAUUGCGAAGGCAGCCUACUGGAGGUUUACCGACGCUCAGGCACGAAAGCGUGGGGAGUCAAACAGGA
This 255-nucleotide ribosomal RNA is filed under the name uncultured bacterium. RNAcentral describes it as "partial 16S ribosomal RNA". It matches the Rfam family "Bacterial small subunit ribosomal RNA", at positions 524 to 777 of the family's 1533-position model. The record is from RNAcentral.